Canis lupus familiaris (dog) is the source of this 89-nucleotide non-coding RNA. The record is from Rfam. Lineage: Eukaryota; Metazoa; Chordata; Mammalia; Carnivora; Canidae.
CGGGGGAGGCCGGAUCCCGGGCUGUGUCCCGGCGCCCUGUGCUCCGGGGCCUGCGCUGUUGGAUUCGCGCUCCCGCCCCGCAGCCCCCU